Molecule: unclassified non-coding RNA, 3013 nt
Filed under: Sipha flava (yellow sugarcane aphid)
Lineage: Eukaryota; Metazoa; Arthropoda; Insecta; Hemiptera; Aphididae
Description: 5-hydroxytryptamine receptor, transcript variant X2
Source: RNAcentral
UAGUUAUGUUUUCUGUUAUUACAGAUUAGCAGAGGAUGGAUAUUGGGCCCAGAAUUGUGUGACAUGUGGACUUCGAGUGAUGUGUUGUGCUGCACUGCUUCGAUACUUCAUCUCGUCGCUAUAGCUGUUGAUAGGUAUUGGGCCGUCACUAACGUCGAUUACAUUCACACGAGAAACGGCCGACGGAUAGUGGGCAUGAUUGUCGUGGUGUGGUGCGUUGCGCUGGUGGUGUCGUUGGCUCCGCAGUUUGGCUGGAAGGACCCGGAUUACUUGGAUCGCAUCAAUAUCCAACAGCGGUGCAUGGUUAGCCAAGACAUUGGCUAUCAGAUAUUUGCUACGUGCUCCACAUUUUACGUGCCUCUGCUGGUCAUCCUCUUCCUCUAUUGGAAAAUAUUCAAAAUAGCCAGGAGAAGGAUUCGCAGGCGAAGAGCUCAGAGAAACGCAAUGCUCGAACACUCGAGGUUGAAGAAGGCGCCGGUGGACGACGCGGCCGCUGAGCCCAAGAAAUGCGGUUUCUUUCGGAAGGCCGUGUUCCUACGCAUCAAGAAGAAAAAACAAGUGGAAGAGGCGGCCGUGUGCUCGAGCAUCGGGCUGAUCGACGGCCAUUCCAGCUGUUCCAUGCCGGAAUCGUCGCAGGACGGCGGCGGUGGCGGUCAGUCAAAAGCGGGAAACGGGAGCGGAAGCGGUGGUUGCGGGAGCGGAGGCGAGGAGAACAAAACCACCGCGUUCACGAUCACCUCGAACCACAAUCACGGCGCGACCACGGCCCCCGCUCAGCACCAGCACCAGCACCAGCAUCACCAGCACCAGCAUCAACAGCACCACAAUCAGCUGCAGCCUCCGGUCAUCGAGGACGACGGGCCCACCAUGACGGACCCAUCGGUCGGCUGCGGCGGCGGCAUCGGCGGCGGUGGUAGCGGUAGCAGCGGUGGCCGGCACACGGUGAUCGAGAUGAACGUGAACCGGAUGAGCGUGCCCGCGGCUGCCCGGGUCAAGCCUAAGCGCGAGAAGAAGGAGUCGCUAGAGGCGAAGCGAGAACGGAAGGCGGCCAAGACCCUGGCCAUCAUCACCGGCGCGUUCGUCGUGUGUUGGCUGCCGUUCUUCAUCAUGGCCCUGGUCAUGCCCCUAUGCCAGGACUGUGUCAUCAACGAGUACGUAUCCAGCUUCUUCCUGUGGCUGGGCUACUUCAACUCCACCCUCAACCCAAUCAUCUACACCGUGUUCAGUCCCGAGUUCCGGUUGGCCUUCACCAAGAUGAUUUGCGGCACCACGUACCGGAGAUAGUGCGCGCCACCGUCACCGGUACCGUUUCAAAAGAUCCGUAUUCACGGCCAUUAUCGUCACAUUUUAAAACACUAAGAAUGCCAUCGCCUUACAGUUGUACACGAUUGAGACCGCAGAUAUAGAUAGUUAUCUGGAUUACAAAACCGUUCGAACGAAUCAUUUUAGACUUUUUUUUUUCGUCUAUGAGAUAAUUGGAACGUAAUACAUGUAGACACGUUAAAUUAUCUUUAAAUCUAAUUGAACAAUAAUAACAAUGAACCCCAUUUAAAAAGUAUACCUAUGGGUCAUCGUCGAACCAUACCGUCGUCUGGUUUAUUAUUAUUUACAUAACUUCUGUAAAAAUGGACGGUAAUUUCACUUUUGAAUGCAAGUUGCCGAUCCGGUUCGUUGUGUAUGUUGUCUGCGAACGAGGCAACCCACCGGCUAUCGUACCCAUCGAGCCAAGCAUAUUAAAUAUGCACAUCAAAUUUUGAUAGACGGUAUCGCUCUGCGACGUAAAACCGCAGCGGUAGAUGUAGCGUGCUCGUGCGGUAGCGGAGAACUUUUGACAGGCUCGCGUACUGGUGAGAUCGACGUGGCUAUAACAACAACAGUAAAGAUAAUAACGGCACCUCUUUGCAGUCGUUCACGGGUUCUUUUUGGGCGUGGGGAAGCGAUACGGAAAUCGCACUUCUACACGCGUACCCUAUUGGGGGGGAGGGCGAUUCGUUCGGUCGUCUGUUCUGGGCAAACGACCUGUCCGCGCAGCCGUCCGGCUUGAUCGAUAAGUGUCUUCCCCCCCCCCUACGUGACAGCCAAAAACCGGAAACGUUCGGUUGCGGGUGUCUAUGGCUUCGGCGUUGGACUUAUACGAGUUGGACGUACAAUGCGACUCGAAAAAAUCUUGCGCGGACGGGAGAAAGGGGAAAAAAAGAGAUACUACGACGUGAAUCGGGUGACGUGUCCGUGCGCCGGGCCAACGUUCGACCGACCUAACCAACGGGAACGGCGGCUCGCGCAGAACGGUGACGAUGGGUCCGAAGGGUUUCUAGUGCCACCGGAAUUUCACCCACAUGACGGGGUCGGGGCUACCGCGUUUCGCGAGACCAAUAUAUUAUGUUUCGAUAACACCUCUCGGCUGCGACCACGCUGGUUCCUUGUUUUAAUCCUUUUCAACCCGUUACUUUAUUAUUGUUAUCGUUAUUACAAGGGAGUUUAAACAACGAGAUAUUGUUAUUGUUAUGUUGCUGUCAUAUGAUUAUUGUUGUUAUUAUUAUUAUUAUUAUAGUAAUUAUCAUCUGCAACAUUGCUCAGCCAUCGAGUCGAAUAAAGGAUAAUAAAUAUACCUGUACAGUGUAUACCGACUGUACAUACCCAACGUCCUGACCUACACAAACGUUUUAUGAACUUGGUCGAAAACGUCUUCCUGUCGACAUGAAACGAUGUCGUGGUGAUAUGAAGUUAAAAAAAAAAGAAAAAUCGGACUUUUUGUACUUUCUUUCGCGCAAAACCUGUGUAAAAAUCAUAUAAGUAUGUAUAUAUAUAUAUAUAUACGUAUAUACAUAUUAUUAUAUUUUAAUCUUAUCACACUCUUUAAACGGAUUCCGUGAUGCGGAGCGUUUUUAAUCACAUUGAUUCUGUUUUAUAAACCUUCACAAUAGUUAUAACAUCGCGGGUGAUAAAAUAAGAAAAUGGCAAUUUUUUUUCACAUUUCUCUCAUUUUCUUUUUAGCGUUUUAGUUUUCAUAUAA